UGGGGAAUAUUGCACAAUGGGCGCAAGCCUGAUGCAGCCAUGCCGCGUGUAUGAAGAAGGCCUUCGGGUUGUAAAGUACUUUCAGCGGGGAGGAAGGGAGUAAAGUUAAUACCUUUGCUCAUUGACGUUACCCGCAGAAGAAGCACCGGCUAACUCCGUGCCAGCAGCCGCGGUAAUACGGAGGGUGCAAGCGUUAAUCGGAAUUACUGGGCGUAAAGCGCACGCAGGCGGUUUGUUAAGUCAGAUGUGAAAUCCCCGGGCUCAACCUGGGAACUGCAUCUGAUACUGGCAAGCUUGAGUCUCGUAGAAGGGGGUAGAAUUCCAGGUGUAGCGGUGAAAUGCGUAGAGAUCUGGAGGAAUACCGGUGGCGAAGGCGGCCCCCUGGACAAAGACUGACGCUCAGGUGCGAAAGCGUGGGGAGCAAACAGG
RNAcentral lists this ribosomal RNA (429 nucleotides) under Chloroflexota bacterium. RNAcentral describes it as "Chloroflexi bacterium partial 16S ribosomal RNA". It matches the Rfam family "Bacterial small subunit ribosomal RNA", at positions 355 to 776 of the family's 1533-position model. Lineage: Bacteria; Bacillati; Chloroflexota. The record is from RNAcentral.